CCCCCCCCCCCCCUCGCACCUGCCGGCGCCUGAGAACCAAAGGAGGGGGCUGGGAGUGGGGACGGGAAUGGGGAUGGGAGUGGAGUUGGGGCUGGGGCUGGGACUGAGCCCCGCCCCUUGGCCGCGCAGAGAGAUGACGUCACGCCAGCCCCUCUCCACUCACCUGGAGCGGCCGGCAGCCGGAAUAAAAAAAAAAACCCGCACAAAAAACUCCGUUGGCGGCUCGCGCGAAGUGAUGACGCCACGCCGCUUGCGGCCUCCGCUGCGCGCUGACGUCACCCUGCGGGCGUCCUUGCCCACCAGGAUUGUGACGCUCGCUUGCGAGAGGACCAGCGCGCGUGGAGCGCGGCGGGGCUUCCUGAAGUCGGUGUGACACCAGCCAGCAGGGAGCGUGGCUUUGGGCUCCCGUGUCCGGAACAAGGGGCGCCUGGGCCGACGGUGGCGCCGAGACCGCCUGCAGUUGGGGUUGGGUAGCUCCCCAGGGCAAUAUCUCUUGCCAAUGCCUUCUCACCAGCAAUAUUUUCUGAUUGGACCUGGAGGUCAGUGUGCAAGAGAGGAUUAGAGGAAGUCCACACUGGUCAGCAUUCUGGGGAACAGAGCAAGACACAGAAAAACAAACACCAAAAAAAAUCCCCCACAAACAUACCUUUGGGUGAGGAUUUUUAAAAAGGGAUAAAGUACUGAUAUGUGUGCAACAUGGAUGGAUUUAAAAAUACGCUAAAUAAAGGAAGUAAUGUACAAAAGGCCACCUAUUGUAUGAGCCCCGUCCCCGCCCCCUGCCUUUAAAUGGAAUAUACAAAAUAGGCAAAUAAGGAGACAGAAAAUGGAUUAGAGGUUGAUAGGGACUGGAGGAAGGGCAAAUGGGAUUGCUUGCUAAUGUGUAAAGGUUUCUUUUGGUGACAGAAAUGUUUGGAAUGAGAUAAUGGUGAUUGUUGUACAACAUGGUAAAUAUACUACAAACUGCUGAAAUCAAGAUGCAUCAUACCAGGAAACUGAUGACUGGGAAGAGGUUCUGUGGGAUAUUCAUAUACAGCCUUGCAUUGGUUUGUGUAUCAAUCUGUUCUGGCUAUGUAUGGUGUCAGAUGGGUACUAGAUUUACCAGGGUCACUUGGUAAGUUAUAUAAAUGUCUAAUUACUAUGUUGUACACAUGGAACUAAUAUAAUGUUGUAUGUCAAUU
This is a long non-coding RNA of Myotis daubentonii (Daubenton's bat), 1178 nucleotides long. RefSeq lists it as uncharacterized. The transcript is spliced from 3 exons. The record is from RefSeq and is a predicted model, not a curated record. Lineage: Eukaryota; Metazoa; Chordata; Mammalia; Chiroptera; Vespertilionidae.